GCCAAUGUAGCUCAGGCGGUUAGAGUACAUCCUUGGUAAGGAUGAGGUCACGGGUUCGACUCCCGUCAUUGGCU
This 74-nucleotide transfer RNA is filed under the name Bacteroidia bacterium. RNAcentral's name for it is "tRNA-Thr". It matches the Rfam family "tRNA". Rfam says of the family: Transfer RNA (tRNA) molecules are approximately 80 nucleotides in length. Their secondary structure includes four short double-helical elements and three loops (D, anti-codon, and T loops). The record is from RNAcentral. Lineage: Bacteria; Pseudomonadati; Bacteroidota; Bacteroidia.